Molecule: ribosomal RNA, 406 nt
Filed under: uncultured bacterium
Lineage: Bacteria
Description: partial 16S ribosomal RNA
Rfam family: Bacterial small subunit ribosomal RNA
Source: RNAcentral
AUUGAACGCUGGCGGCAGGCCUAACACAUGCAAGUCGAGCGAGCGGCGGACGGGUGAGUAAUGUCUGGGAAACUGCCUGAUGGAGGGGGAUAACUACUGGAAACGGUAGCUAAUACCGCAUACCAUCAGAUGUGCCCAGAUGGGAUUAGCUAGUAGGUGGGGUAACGGCUCACCUAGGCGACGAUCCCUAGCUGGUCUGAGAGGAUGACCAGCCACACUGGAACUGAGACACGGUCCAGACGCCGACGGGAGGCAGCAGUGGGGAAUAGUGCACAAUGGGGGAAAGCCUGAUGCAGCCAUGCCGCGUGUAUGAAGAAGGCCUUCGGGUUGUAAAGUACUUUCGGCGGGGAGGCGUUACCCGCAGAAGAAGCACCGGCUAACUCCGUGCCAGCAGCCGCGGUAAUAC